Molecule: ribosomal RNA, 301 nt
Filed under: uncultured bacterium
Lineage: Bacteria
Description: partial 16S ribosomal RNA
Rfam family: Bacterial small subunit ribosomal RNA
Source: RNAcentral
CAGUCGCCGCGGUAAUACGUAGGGUGCAAGCGUUAAUCGGAAUUACUGGGCGUAAAGCGUGCGCAGGCGGUGUUGUAAGACUGAUGUGAAAUCCCCGGGCUCAACCUGGGAACUGCAUUGGUGACUGCAACGCUGGAGUGCGGCAGAGGGGGAUGGAAUUCCGCGUGUAGCAGUGAAAUGCGUAGAUAUGCGGAGGAACACCGAUGGCGAAGGCAAUCCCCUGGGCCUGUACUGACGCUCAUGCACGAAAGCGUGGGGAGCAAACAGGAUUAGAUACCCCCGUAGUCCCUGUCUCUUAUAU